Molecule: ribosomal RNA, 253 nt
Filed under: uncultured bacterium
Lineage: Bacteria
Description: partial 16S ribosomal RNA
Rfam family: Bacterial small subunit ribosomal RNA
Source: RNAcentral
UACGAAGGGAGCUAGCGUUGUUCGGAAUCACUGGGCGUAAAGCGCACGUAGGCGGGCUUGAAAGUCAGGGGUGAAAUCCCGGGGCUCAACCUCGGAACUGCCUCUGAUACUGCAAGUCUCGAGUCCGGAAGAGGUGGGUGGAAUUCCUAGUGCAGAGGUGAAAUUCGUAGAUAUUAGGAAGAAAACCGGUGGCGAAGGCGGCCCACUGGUCCGGUACUGACGCUGAGGUGCGAAAGCGUUGGGAGCAAACAGG